AACAGGAUUAGAUACCCGGGUAGUCCACGCCGUAAACGAUGGAUACUAGCUGUUGGAGGUAUCGACCCCUUCAGUAGCGAAGCUAACGCGUUAAGUAUCCCGCCUGUGGAGUACGGUCGCAAGACUAAAACAUAAAGGAAUUGACGGGGACCCGCACAAGCGGUGGAUCGUGUUCUUUAAUUCGAUGAUAAACGAAGAACCUUACCAGGGUUUGACAUCCUUGGAAUUUCUGUGAAAGCAGAGAGUGCUUUAUUGAGCCAAGUGACAGGUGCUGCAUGGCCGUCGUCAGCUCGUGUCGUGAGAUGUUUGGUUAAGUCCAUUAACGAGCGCAACCCUUGUGAAUAGUUGUAUUUUUCUAUUCAGACUGCCCCGGCAACGGGGAGGAAGGAGGGGAUGAGGUCAGGUCUGUAUUUCUCUUACACCCUGGGCUAGAAACACGAUACAAUGGUUAGUACAAUGCGCAGCGAAGCCGCGAGGUGGAGCAAAUCGCAUCAAAGCUAAUCUCAGUUCGGAUAAGAGGCUGAAACUCGCCUCUUUGAAGUCGGAAUCGCUAGUAAUCGCAGGUCAGCAAACUGCGGUGAAUACGUUCCCGGGUCUUGUACACACCGCCCGUCAAACCAUGAAAGUCACCAACACCCGAAGUCCGAUUCGUCGGCCUAAGGUGGGGGGGAUGAUUGGGGUUA
RNAcentral lists this ribosomal RNA (683 nucleotides) under uncultured Candidatus Saccharibacteria bacterium. RNAcentral describes it as "bacterial SSU rRNA". It matches the Rfam family "Bacterial small subunit ribosomal RNA", at positions 771 to 1483 of the family's 1533-position model. Lineage: Bacteria; Candidatus Saccharimonadota. The record is from RNAcentral.